AGAUUGAACGCUGGCGGCAGGCCUAACACAUGCAAGUCGAGCGGUAGAGAGGUGCUUGCAUCUCUUGAGAGCGGCGGACGGGUGAGUAAUGCCUAGGAAUCUGCCUAGGUGGUGGGGGAUAACGUUCGGAAACGGACGCUAAUACCGCAUACGUCCUACGGGAGAAAGCGGGGGACCUUCGGGCCUCGCGCCAUUAGAUGAGCCUAGGUCGGAUUAGCUAGUUGGUGAGGUAAUGGCUCACCAAGGCGACGAUCCGUAACUGGUCUGAGAGGAUGAUCAGUCACACUGGAACUGAGACACGGUCCAGACUCCUACGGGAGGCAGCAGUGGGGAAUAUUGGACAAUGGGCGAAAGCCUGAUCCAGCCAUGCCGCGUGUGCGAAGAAGGUCUUCGGAUUGUAAAGCACUUUAAGUGGAGAAGGGUUGUAACCUAAUACGUUGACAACUUUGACGUUACGACAGAAUAAGCACGGACUAACUCGUAGCCAGCAGCCGUA
RNAcentral lists this ribosomal RNA (496 nucleotides) under uncultured soil bacterium. RNAcentral describes it as "bacterial SSU rRNA". It matches the Rfam family "Bacterial small subunit ribosomal RNA", at positions 26 to 519 of the family's 1533-position model. The record is from RNAcentral.